CUAUUUGAGGAUGGAACCAAGCCGAACCCGAGCCUCUAACUCCUUAUUUCUUUGCUUAUCUUCUCUGAAACAGGUUUUCCAGUGCUCUGUAUCAAUACGUCAAUGUUGUAGUGAUGCUUAACCUAAAAUAAAUCAUAUCUUUAACUUGUUAGUUUAAGGAGCUAUUUGGUUGCAGCUUUAUGGCAUGAUUUAAGAGGCUAUUUGGUGGUUUCUUAAAUUCAAGGGAAUAUCAGAUUUAAUUGAUUCAGGGUUUGUUUCGUAGCAGCAUUUCGCAUGAUUUAAACAAGAUUAAUAUAAAAUGUGAUAAUCAUAAAUUAUUACUAAUUGUAGACUUAUUUGGUACGUCCUUGUGCCCUUGGCCUUCAUCUUCUCUAGCUUGUUCAUCGUUGAAAAGGUGAACUUAUUAGUGGAAAAUUUAUCAUUUGCUUA
Molecule: long non-coding RNA, 429 nt
Organism: Dendrobium catenatum
Lineage: Eukaryota; Viridiplantae; Streptophyta; Magnoliopsida; Asparagales; Orchidaceae
Exons: 2
Source: RefSeq, a predicted model, not a curated record